This is a long non-coding RNA of Herpailurus yagouaroundi (jaguarundi), 671 nucleotides long. RefSeq lists it as uncharacterized. The record is from RefSeq and is a predicted model, not a curated record. The transcript is spliced from 4 exons. Lineage: Eukaryota; Metazoa; Chordata; Mammalia; Carnivora; Felidae.
GGCAGGCCUCGGUCCGUUAAUUUAAGCGGGAGAUGGGAACCUAACCCUCAAAGUUCACCGACCCUCGAAGUUCCUAACCCAGGCUCAAGCGCACCUGAGAUCAGUAAACUGAGGCCCAGAGAGAGGAAAUGACUCUCCCAAAGCCGUGCACGGUAAGCGUGUCGACAGCAGCCACACCCACGGCUCCUGCCAACUAGACCGGGGCUCUCCACAACGCUGGCUGCCGUUCUUAAUGCACAGAUCAAUCACUAAACACAGAUAAUUUUGACAGAGCUGGGUCAGUGAAGUCAACCUUUCUCUCCCCAUCUCAGCAUUGCUACCUUCCUCUGCAGGCGGUCAGAAGGAUCCUGGAUGAAAAUGACCUGAAAAGAUGGCAGAUGAAAAGCGCUUGAGGAAAGAAACAGAGAGGGGACUCACACAUUUUGAGCGUCUGUCACAAGGCGUCACCUCGCUGACAUCCCGCGGCAGAGUCCUCUGGAACAGGUGCGACCGUCAUCACCGUUUUACCCACAGAUAAGAAGACUGAGACCAAAAGAGUAAAUUUCAGGUCUUCCUCAACAGAAGCUAAGAGUUCCCACUGCUUGAAGAGAAACGGCAGCCUAGCAAAGUCCAAGGUUCCCAGAGAUGCAAGCCCAAAUAUGUUGAUGCUUAAAUAAAAUUUAUACUGUUCA